GAGGGUGGAAAGCUUGCUUCUUUUCCGUACACACAUAUGUCCCCGCAUCGCUACCGCAAAAGGUAAGUGUGUGUUUAACGAAAAGACAGUGACAGCAAUCAAAGAAGAGACCGAUUCAGAUGAAGAUGAGGAUAA
Non-coding RNA from Caenorhabditis elegans, 135 nucleotides. NCBI's taxonomy places the organism in Eukaryota, Metazoa, Nematoda, Chromadorea, Rhabditida, Rhabditidae. The record is from Ensembl.